UUGUCUACCAUUUUUAAAGAACAGACCCAUCAUUUUAUUAGGGUUUCGGGAUCCCUAUGCCCCAAAUGGUCGCCGCAAUGCCAAAAGAUUAGAGGAAAUUUCUCCCUCCAAAGGCCAACUUCUACGACAGAGGAAGAGUUACCGACGAUGGAGGAGCGAGUCAACUCAGGUAUUCCUCUCUCUUUUCUCUUUUUUUUUUGUUUUUUACACACAAAUAAAAGGAAUAAAAAAAAAUCAAAAGAACCAAACAAUCGAAAGGAAAAACUGAAAACAGCUUCAAAAUUUGAUUUGUAUUCAUAUUUUUGCGUCUGUUUUCUUGUGUAUUCCCUUUGCUAGUGUAUUCGUGAAAAAAAAGAAACGACCCCCUAUUCGCACACUUCCUUUACUGUAAGCAGUGAUUGAUGAUGCGCAGAUGCCAUGGCAAAUCAAAUCUCAAGGAUUGUCCGCUUCGACUUCGAGAUCCCAUCUUUACUUCGAUUGCAACGAAGAAGAUGGGCUACAAUCGCUAAGGUAAAUCCCUUUCUUUCUUUUUAUUUUCUAAAUGCGAUGAUGAAAGAUUUGAAGAAAUAAAUUACCAAGUAAAAAAAGAAAUUGCAGAAAUCAAAACAGAGAUUACUUUUUCAAAAAUGGCUUUCGAAUAUUUCCUAUUCAAUCUGCGUGUUUAGUAUGGGUAACCCCCAUACAAUGAGAAUGUUUAUGGCUUUAUAGCCGAAAAUAAAAAAGGAAAAUACAAAGAAUUUUUGUUGUUUUUUCUCUUUGUUGUGUUGUCCUUUUUGCAUCUGUGCGUAGGUAGGAAGGUACGGAGCUCGGUGGUUGAACGGCGCUGUGCUGGAGAUGAGGACGAGGGGUUGCAGUGCCUAGUAGCUAGGGUUUUCGCCCUUCAGCUGAAGCUUGUUUCAGUUUUGGGCCGUUUGGGCCAGGGGUAUUUUUGGGCUACUUGGGUUAAUUCGGUUUUGGGUUUUAAAUUUGGGUUUGGGUUUGUAAUGUUUUGAGUUUAAAAUUGGGUUGUGUAAUUUGGACUUGUGGACUGUAUUAUUUUUUGUUUUGGGAUUGAUUUUUGGUUGUUAGGCCCGGGCGGAUUUGGCCCAUUACAAAGCCAAAUCAAAUAUAAGUUCAAAAGAAAAAGAAAUCACCACUACAAGGUUUGAUACAUCUUCAAUGUCAACAACAUUUUCUAGAAACGUAAAAAACUUCAUCAAAUAGCAAACAAACAUAUACUUCUUAUAUAGCAUAAGAACAACAAUCCCAACACAUCAUAAAAACCAACACUCAAACCAAUAGCUUCCCUUUUUUUUCAACAAACUUGUCAAUCAUAAUCUCUUGAUUAGACCGAAGAAAAACGAAUGUUGAAGAAUAUGGGGAUUAAAA
Molecule: long non-coding RNA, 1368 nt
Filed under: Gossypium barbadense (sea-island cotton)
Lineage: Eukaryota; Viridiplantae; Streptophyta; Magnoliopsida; Malvales; Malvaceae
Description: long non-coding RNA (GBAR_LNC004650)
Source: RNAcentral